ACCUGGGUGGCUUAAUUGGUUAAGCGUCUGACUUUGGCUCAGGUCAUGAUCUCACGGGUUGUGGUUUCAGGCACCACAUCAGGCU
Molecule: transfer RNA, 85 nt
Filed under: Felis catus (domestic cat)
Lineage: Eukaryota; Metazoa; Chordata; Mammalia; Carnivora; Felidae
Also listed under: 3 other names
Rfam family: tRNA
About the family: Transfer RNA (tRNA) molecules are approximately 80 nucleotides in length.
Source: Rfam by way of RNAcentral